AUGGGAGAGGGAAACGGAAUUCCUGGAGUAACGGUGAAACGCGUAGAUAUCAGGAGGUACACCGGUGCCGAAGUCGGCUUCCUGGACCUAUGCUCACGCUGAGGCGCGAAGGCGUGGGGACCGGACAGGAUUAGAUACCCUGGUAGUCCACGCAGUCAAACCCUGAUCACUAGGACGUAGCGGGAAAGGACCCAUGGUCCCCCGGAGUUAACGCACUAACUGAUCCGCCUGGCGACUACGAUCGCAAGAUUGCAACUCAAAGGAACUGACGGGGGCCCGCACAACCGCUGGAGCAUGUGAUCAAAUUCGACGCUACGCGAAGAACCGUACCUCGACUCGACAUCUCGGGAAUUCCGGGGAUAGACGGGAGUGCCGUAGAACGAGGAAUCCGACGACAGGUCAGGCUAUGGCAGUCGUCAGCUCAUGUCGUGAGAUGAUGGGUUAAGUCCCGUAACGAGCGCAACCCCUAUCUUCAGUUACCAUCAGGUGAUCAUGGGGACUUUGGAGAUACUGCCCCGGUGAACGGGGAGAAAGAUGGGGAUAACGUCACGUCACUCACGGCCCCUAUGAUCCAGGGCUACACACGAUGCUACACUGGUAAGGACACAGGGAACAGAUCCCGCGAGGAGGAGCUAAUCUCUCAAAGCACUAUCAAAGCUUGGAUCGGAGUCGCAACAUUAGCUCCGUGAAGUUGGAAUCGCGUAGUAAUCACGGAUCUGCAUACCGCGGUGUAUACGUUCCCGGGCACUUGUACUACACCGCCCCGUCACACCCAUGAGAGUUGGGUGUAUCAGAAGUCUUUGGGAUACCACGCAAGGGGGGUAGGGCAUAAGUAUGUUGAUGAUUGGG
RNAcentral lists this ribosomal RNA (849 nucleotides) under uncultured organism. Its description in RNAcentral is "bacterial SSU rRNA". It matches the Rfam family "Bacterial small subunit ribosomal RNA", at positions 648 to 1479 of the family's 1533-position model. The record is from RNAcentral.